Molecule: non-coding RNA, 583 nt
Organism: Podarcis lilfordi (Lilford's wall lizard)
Lineage: Eukaryota; Metazoa; Chordata; Lepidosauria; Squamata; Lacertidae
Source: the annotation of a GenBank genome assembly
GAAGGAGGAGGAGGAAGGUGCAUCUAGAUUGAGGAGCUGUUUGUCUCUGGGACUCCCCCUUCCUUUGACUUCACCAUGGCUUGGCUCCUUCUUCUCUUCACCCUUCUCAGUUACUGCUCAGGUCUGUUUCUGGGUGGUUAAUGGGAUCAGGUUGUCCUGUGCAGGAAUAAUGGGUUGAGCAACAAACCCAUUUUUCGUGUAAUUUAUCAUAGAAACACAAUGUUUUUCUGAUGCAUAUAUUUUUCUUUUUCUUUUUCCAAAGGUGUCAUUUCACAGUCUGUAACUCAGCCAGCCUCGGAGUCUGUGUCCCUGGGCCAAACUCUGAAACUCUCCUGCUCUAGAAGUAGUGGUGGUGACUGGGGCAGCUUUCACUGGUAUCAACAGAAACCAGGACAGGCUCCUCGCUUUGUGUGGUAUGGCUCCAGCACCAGGGGAGAAGGGAUCCCAGAUCGGUUCACUGGCUCUGAAUCUGGGGACACUGGCUCUUUAACCAUCUCCAACAACCAGGCUGAAGAUGAGGCUGUUUAUUUCUGUGGUGCCUGGGACAGAACUGGUAGCAAGUUCCACAGUGAUACAAUCUGAU